This 172-nucleotide ribosomal RNA is filed under the name uncultured bacterium. RNAcentral describes it as "partial 16S ribosomal RNA". It matches the Rfam family "Bacterial small subunit ribosomal RNA", at positions 340 to 524 of the family's 1533-position model. The record is from RNAcentral.
UACGGGAGGCAGCAGUGGGGAAUAUUGCACAAUGGGCGCAAGCCUGAUGCAGCGACGCCGCGUGAGGGAUGACGGCCUUCGGGUUGUAAACCUCUUUCAGUAGGGAAGAAGCGAAAGUGACGGUACCUGCAGAAGAAGCACCGGCUAACUACGUGCCAGCAGCCGCGGUAAU